This 254-nucleotide ribosomal RNA is filed under the name uncultured bacterium. RNAcentral's name for it is "partial 16S ribosomal RNA". It matches the Rfam family "Bacterial small subunit ribosomal RNA", at positions 524 to 776 of the family's 1533-position model. The record is from RNAcentral.
UACGUAGGGUGCGAGCGUUGUCCGGAAUUACUGGGCGUAAAGAGCUCGUAGGCGGUGUGUCGCGUCGGCCGUGAAAACCUGCAGCUUAACUGUGGGCUUGCAGUCGAUACGGGCAUCACUGGAGUUCGGCAGGGGAGACUGGAAUUCCUGGUGUAGCGGUGAAAUGCGCAGAUAUCAGGAGGAACACCGGUGGCGAAGGCGGGUCUCUGGGCCGAUACUGACGCUGAGGAGCGAAAGCGUGGGGAGCGAACAGG